CCUACGGGUGGCAGCAGUGAGGAAUAUUGGUCAAUGGGCGCGAGCCUGAUCCAGCCACGUAGCGUGAAGGAUGACUGCCCUACGGGUUGUAAACUUCUUUUAUAAAGGAAUAAAGUGAGGCACGUGUGCCUUUUUGUAUGUACUUUAUGAAUAAGGAUCGGCUAACUCCGUGCCAGCAGCCGCGGUAAUACGGAGGGUCCGAGCGUUAUCCGGAUUUAUUGGGUGUAAAGGGAGCGUAGAUGGGUUGGUAAGUCAGGUGUGAAAGGUUGCGGCUCAACCGUAAAAUUGCAAUUGAUACUGGCAGGCUUGAGUACAGGUGUGGUAAGCGGAAUUCGUGGUGUAGCGGUGAAAUGCUUAGAUAUCACGAAGAACUCCGAUUGCGAAGGCAGCUUACUAAACUGCCACUGACAUUGAUGCUCGAAGGUGUGGGUAUCAAACAGGAUUAGAUACCCCUGUAGUC
This 460-nucleotide ribosomal RNA is filed under the name uncultured bacterium. RNAcentral's name for it is "partial 16S ribosomal RNA". It matches the Rfam family "Bacterial small subunit ribosomal RNA", at positions 338 to 795 of the family's 1533-position model. The record is from RNAcentral.